AAAAAAGGUAAGCUACUAAGAGCGAAUGGUGGAUGCCUUGACUGGUAAAGGCGAUGAAGGACGUACUAGACUGCGAUAAGCUACGGGGAGCUGUCAAGAAGCUUUGAUCCGUAGAUUUCCGAAUGGGGCAACCCAAUGUAUAGAGAUAUACAUUACCUAUAUAGGAGCGAACGAGGGGAAUUGAAACAUCUUAGUACCCUCAGGAAAAGAAAUCAAUAGAGAUUGCGUCAGUAGCGGCGAGCGAAAGCGCAAGAGGGCAAACCCAGUGCUUGCACUGGGGGUUGUAGGACUGCAAUGUGCAAGAGGUGAGUUUAGCAGAACAUUCUGGAAAGUAUAGCCAUAGAGGGUGAUAGUCCCGUAUGCGAAAAACAAACCUUAGCUAGCAGUAUCCUGAGUAGGGCGGGACACGAGGAAUCCUGUCUGAAUCCGGGUCGACCACGAUCCAACCCUAAAUACUAAUACCAGAUCGAUAGUGCACAAGUACCGUGAGGGAAAGGUGAAAAGAACUGAGGUGAUCAGAGUGAAAUAGAACCUGAAACCAUUUGCUUACAAUCAUUCAGAGCCCUAUGUAGCAAUACAGGGUGAUGGACUGCCUUUUGCAUAAUGAGCCUGCGAGUUGUGGUGUCUGGCAAGGUUAAGCAAACGCGAAGCCGUAGCGAAAGCGAGUCUGAAUAGGGCGCUUAGUCAGAUGCUGCAGACCCGAAACGAAGUGAUCUAUCCAUGAGCAAGUUGAAGCUAGUGUAAGAACUAGUGGAGGACUGAACCCAUAGGCGUUGAAAAGCCCCGGGAUGACUUGUGGAUAGGGGUGAAAGGCCAAUCAAACUUCGUGAUAGCUGGUUCUCUCCGAAAUAUAUUUAGGUAUAGCGUUGUGUCGUAAUAUAAGGGGGUAGAGCACUGAAUGGGCUAGGGCAUACACCAAUGUACCAAACCCUAUCAAACUCCGAAUACCUUAUAUGUAAUCACAGCAGUCAGGCGGCGAGUGAUAAAAUCCGUCGUCAAGAGGGAAACAACCCAGACUACCAGCUAAGGUCCCUAAAUCUUACUUAAGUGGAAAACGAUGUGAAGUUACUUAAACAACCAGGAGGUUGGCUUAGAAGCAGCCAUCCUUUAAAGAAAGCGUAAUAGCUCACUGGUCUAGUGAUUUUGCGCGGAAAAUAUAACGGGGCUAAAGUAAGUACCGAAGCUGUAGACUUGCGCACAACUUAGAUUAUUUAAGUUUAGAAUAUGAGAAACUAAGUUAUAUGUUUAGUUAUAUUUUUACUGAUUUUUAUAGAGUAAAGAUAGAAAUAAAACUUAGUAAAAUCAGUAAAAAUAUUCUUAGACUAAAGUUAAGUAGUUUAAGUUGUGUGCAAGUGGUAGGAGAGCGUUCUAUUUGCGUCGAAGGUAUACCGGUAAGGAGUGCUGGAGCGAAUAGAAGUGAGCAUGCAGGCAUGAGUAGCGAUAAUUAAUGUGAGAAUCAUUAACGCCGUAAACCCAAGGUUUCCUACGCGAUGCUCGUCAUCGUAGGGUUAGUCGGGUCCUAAGCCGAGUCCGAAAGGGGUAGGCGAUGGCAAAUUGGUUAAUAUUCCAAUACCAACAUUAGUGUGCGAUGGAAGGACGCUUAGGGCUAAGGGGGCUAGCGGAUGGAAGUGCUAGUCUAAGGUCGUAGGAGGUUAUACAGGCAAAUCCGUAUAACAAUACUCCGAGAACUGAAAGGCUUUUUGAAGUCUUCGGAUGGAUAGAAGAACCCCUGAUGCCGUCGAGCCAAGAAAAGUUUCUAAGUUUAGCUAAUGUUGCCCGUACCGUAAACCGACACAGGUGGGUGGGAUGAGUAUUCUAAGGCGCGUGGAAGAACUCUCUUUAAGGAACUCUGCAAAAUAGCACCGUAUCUUCGGUAUAAGGUGUGGUUCGCUUCGUACUAGGAUUUACUCCGAAAGCGAAGAAACUUACAACAAAGAGUCCCUCCCGACUGUUUACCAAAAACACAGCACUCUGCUAACUCGUAAGAGGAUGUAUAGGGUGUGACGCCUGCCCGGUGCUCGAAGGUUAAUUGAUGGGGUUAGCAUUAGCGAAGCUCUUGAUCGAAGCCCGAGUAAACGGCGGCCGUAACUAUAACGGUCCUAAGGUAGCGAAAUUCCUUGUCGGUUAAAUACCGACCUGCAUGAAUGGCGUAACGAGAUGGGAGCUGUCUCAAAGAGGGAUCCAGUGAAAUUGUAGUGGAGGUGAAAAUUC
This 2211-nucleotide ribosomal RNA is filed under the name Campylobacter coli. RNAcentral describes it as "partial 23S ribosomal RNA". It matches the Rfam family "Bacterial large subunit ribosomal RNA", at positions 1 to 2062 of the family's 2925-position model. The record is from RNAcentral. Lineage: Bacteria; Pseudomonadati; Campylobacterota; Epsilonproteobacteria; Campylobacterales; Campylobacteraceae.